This is a long non-coding RNA of Hyalella azteca, 3605 nucleotides long. RefSeq lists it as uncharacterized. The record is from RefSeq and is a predicted model, not a curated record. NCBI's taxonomy places the organism in Eukaryota, Metazoa, Arthropoda, Malacostraca, Amphipoda, Hyalellidae. The transcript has 2 exons.
AUUUAGAAGAGAAAAAUAACUUAUUUUACUUGAAUAUAAUGAAGUUUGAAUUCAAACAUAUUUCUUGUUUGCGAUGUGAAAACGCCUCUAUUUCCUCGAAAAAGGGCUAACAUACUUUCAAAGUUAGUUAGGGAUUUACUUUUGAGAUAUCGAGGCAAUAUAAUUUAUAAUGAUUCUUGUUUGUAUUUGCCAGUAUUGAUUAAGUAGGAUCUACCUCGAGAGAUGGCUACUGAGAGUCAUUCUGACAUUCAGUGAGCUUCCCAUGUUCCGAAUUCAAAUUUCUUUAACCCUUUCUGCUAUUUAAAUUUGUUAGGUUGUUUUCCCCUGGCGCUUCCUCGUGUAGAACAAUGUUAUGUCUUCCACUUGUUCCUGCUAUUUAUCUCAGUAUUGUUAGAUUGUUUUCCCCUGAUUUAUCUCGUGUAGAACAAAGUUGUUAUAUCUUUCACUUGUUCUUGCUGUUUGGCGAUCACUGAAAUUCAGGAGAGGGAACCUGAUUUUUACUUUACCGGUGUUUUAUUUAUUUAAAUUAAUGCGUUUUUGCUCGGUAAUAUUUAUAACAGAGUCUGUGCAAUUUGUUCGUAAGAAUUAUUUCUAACAUUAUUUAUUAUUUGGCUAAUUUGCUUACUGACUCUCAUAAGUGCAAUAUAUUUAACAAGCUCGUUGAUAGCAGGCAGCUUUCCUCUUAUUCGUCUGUAGUUCCUUGUUUUUCGUUCUCUUUAUUCUUUAGUGAUCAAUUGAGAUUAAUUUUCGGUGUUGAUAAUUUAGGCUUGGAAAAAUUAAUGCAGUCUUUCAUUAACUGGAAUAUUCGUUUGGUUUGCGGUGCUUCCUUUGCACGCUGACUUAUGUUAGCAGCUGAUACUGAUGUGCAAGCUUAGCGGCCGUUUUUUAUUUUUAGCGGCCUUUAAUCCAGAUAAGGUGAGAUCAUGGCAUUUGAAAUUACUCGGGACCUUCUAAACACAUGUGCAUUAUCCGUUUAUAAAUAUGUCCCCCAACCGUACAGGUCCUCAUUACCAGGUUCUUCGAUCAGGGAUAUGUCUUAAUCACGAGUAGAAUAUUUUCAUCACAUAUGAGAGAUUGAAUCGGUUGCUGCCUGAAGGAUUUGGUUAGAUCCUUCUCGGCGAGGUCUGUUUGAUCCUAGCUAGCUUCCACAGCUUCAAGAUAAUCAAAACUCAGAUUAUCUUCAAUAUUUAUCCGGUGAUGAGAACUAUCAUCCAUGACUCGGACAAUUUUCGUAUCGUGUAAUGUUGCAAGAUUUUAACGCCCAACACAAAUAAAAGUAGCUGCUGUGAGCGGAAAAAGUGCUCAAACCUUGAAGGCACUUGAAGAUCAUAUGAAGAAAAUCCUUGUGACUCAACUAACUUAAUAACUAAUAAGAUUGUUCCGGGCGACACAUAUCUCGAUAUAAAAACCAGGAGGAUGACCCCUUAAAGUCCUGGACAUCCACAUAUUUAUUGAGAGCUUUACGAUCGUUUGCGUCAUUAAUUUAUCAGUAAGAUAUAUUUAAGAGUAAGAAAUAGAGGUUAAGCCUAUGGUUUCUGUUUUUUUUUUGUGAAGUAUCUGAGCACAACUGUGGUUCGAAGUCAUUCGAUUCUGCAGGGUUCAUUGGGUUCGUUUCUCUCAGAAUAUUUUGUGCAGUGCAGCCUCUGGUGACCAUUUGAAUCACAAUCGUGAUUCACGAUUGUUACAACAUGUAAUCAUGUGUCGGAAUUAAUUGGAAAAUGCAGCGUCGUUCUGAUGCUUAUGGUAUGGGUGACUGAACGCGCUAUUUAGGAGGACACCAGCUGGGGCUCCAGUCUGUGUACGAGAUUUAAGAAUGUGUUUGCAUAGAAAAUGGAUUGGUUAGUUUUGUAGGAAUGAAGCAUCAUAUUUAUAAACAAAAUUGUCUGAUUAUUGAUGAUGUUUAGUAAGAUAGACGUUAUUAUUCCAAAAACUUGUUCUGCAUAGUAUGUUUAUACUUAAAUUAUGAAACGUUACUGCCUGUUUUGCCAAGCUGUGAGGCUAAAUCCAAAGUGCUGAACGCUUGACCGCUAUUUUGGUUCACUGUGUUUGUAAGCAUCGGCCACAACGCGCACUAAUUGACUCAUUUUAAUUCAUCCUAGAGCACUCCGUGAUAUUUUAAUCAUUCUCAGUAAUUAUAGUCUUCCGGAAGUGUUCAGGACAAACUAACCUUUUCCGUUCAUUGGACUCUCAGCAUAUGCACAUUAUGUCGGUGAUGGUCGUGGAAGUUACAGUGGCCUUAGUGCCCUUUAAAUCUCACUUAUCAUCUCCCUCCUGGUUGCCACCACUAGUGAGGAGCAAUUACAAUAACUAAACUUGGUGUUAUAAUAACAACUGUAUAAUAAUAGUAAAAAAUUGAGAUUUUCGCUGCUUUAACGAAGCUCUCUGAUGAGUCAGUGCAAAGAUCGUGGUGGUUGUUCAUGCGUUCAUCAAUCAAAUUUUGUGGGCGGUUUAAUUGAUGUGUAGCUAGUAUUUGCUGCCCACUGGUGAGCAACGUGAAUAUUGAAGAGUAUUUCUAAGCUAUGUUUGAUGCAAGAUCAUUUCGGCAGAUAACUUGCGUGCGUAAAGCUAAGCGGCGGCGACUUAUUAUCACGUAUUUGUUACUUAGGAGAUGUUAAGUCGUGCCAAAUGUGUUAGCCUAAGCAAUGUGUAGUACAGUAGCGGUGUAGCUGACGAGGAGCUUAGUUAUCAGACACCUGACUUUGAAAUAGCGUUUAUUGAACGUUGUUUCAACGUCAUUUGUCUAGUGGGAUAUAUAGUCACCUAUAUACUAAAUACUCAGGGGUCUGUACGUAUAAAGCUCUACACGAAACACAUCCUCUUUGCUCUCUGACGCCAGUGCUUUACCUUCCUGCAUUUGGCGAGAUGCUCUCGCUUUGUUCUUAUUGAUGAUGUUAGCCGCCUUGUGCGUUCUCUUGCAUAAAAUGAUUCUGGUUUUCCCCUACACAAUUUGAUAGUUCCGAGUUAUCCAAACAGAUACCACAACGUCUACUGUUUGCAACACAUCAAAGAAACACCGUUAAUUUCCAUGUUUGUGAGGCAUAUGGACAAGAAGUAUUGUAGAGCAAGUCGUUUUCUUAACUUCAGUGUACUCACCUUACCAAUUGAUUGGAAAUUAGCUCAUUAUUAAAUCGAUAAUGCGAACUACUGGUUGAUUUUUACGCUGCAGUAUCUGGAACUAGAAUUAUCUUCUCUUUUCGGGACUUGUCAUCUCUGCGCCAAAGCGUAGGACGCGAUCACAGUUAUUAUGCAAUUUAUAUAUAUUAUAUUUGAAAGCGUAGCACAUGGCCUAGAGAGGCGCGGGGUAGGAAAUUUCAAUGGUGUAAUGGAGGACAGGAGGGAUCAUAUCUUGUUGGUUGGGAAUACUGACUGAGAGUGUUUUUUAUUUAGUUAAAAGGCGUACUUUGAGAACCAACAAAUUGGUAACCGUCAUAGCCCUUGAUGAUCUAUCCCAGCUAUUGAUCAUUUAUCACAGCGCCUGAUGAUCUAUCGCUAUGAUCUCGCAAGAAGUUCAUAACGACAGCUCGCAUGCUUGCAUUAUGCUACGAACAGAACGCGUCUGUAGGGCGGACAUUUGUAAACGAGGUGCAAUAAACGGUUCAAAAGUC